Molecule: ribosomal RNA, 359 nt
Filed under: Teleophrys ruber
Lineage: Eukaryota; Metazoa; Arthropoda; Malacostraca; Decapoda; Mithracidae
Description: partial 12S ribosomal RNA
Source: RNAcentral
UAUUAUACUAAAUCGUAAUUAAAAAACUUGAAUACUGUAAGAUACUGUCUUUAAAUUCAAAGAAUUUGGCGGUAAUUUAGUCUUUCCAGAGGAACCUGUUUUUUAAACGAUAAACCACGAAUAAUCUUACUUACUUUAAUUAUAAAGGUUUGUAUACCGUCAUUAUCAGAUGAUAUUUAAAGAUUAAUUGUUAAGCUUUUAAUAAAAAAAUAAAUUAGAUCAAGGUGCAGCUUAUAGGUAAGUUAAAAUGGGUUACAAUUAAAUAAAUAUAAGAUGAAUUAUGAUUUGAAAAAUCUUAUGAAGGAGGAUUUGGUUGUAAUAAAGAUUAAUAAGAUAAAAAGAUAUAGGCUCUAAAUUGU